UAACACGUAAACAACCUGCCUUCAGGAUGGGGACAACAGACGGAAACGACUGCUAAUACCGAAUAAGUUCCAAGGGCCACAUGGCCCAUGGAAGAAAAGGUGGCCUCUACCUGUAAGCUAUCGCCUGAAGAGGGGUUUGCGUCUGAUUAGCUGGUUGGAGGGGUAACGGCCCACCAAGGCGACGAUCAGUAGCCGGUCUGAGAGGAUGAACGGCCACACUGGAACUGAGACACGGUCCAG
Molecule: ribosomal RNA, 240 nt
Filed under: uncultured bacterium
Lineage: Bacteria
Description: partial 16S ribosomal RNA
Rfam family: Bacterial small subunit ribosomal RNA
Source: RNAcentral